This 427-nucleotide ribosomal RNA is filed under the name uncultured bacterium. RNAcentral describes it as "bacterial SSU rRNA". It matches the Rfam family "Bacterial small subunit ribosomal RNA", at positions 355 to 774 of the family's 1533-position model. The record is from RNAcentral.
UGGGGAAUUUUGGACAAUGGGCGCAAGCCUGAUCCAGCCAUGCCGCGUGUCUGAAGAAGGCCUUCGGGUUGUAAAGGACUUUUGUCCAGGAGCAAGACUUAGAGAUGAAUAGUUUCUAGGGGUGAGAGUACUGGAAGAAUAAGCACCGGCUAACUACGUGCCAGCAGCCGCGGUAAUACGUAGGGUGCGAGCGUUAAUCGGAAUGACUGGGCGUAAAGAGUGCGUAGGCGGUUACGCGAGCUUGAUGUGAAAUCCCCGGGCUUAACCUGGGAAUGGCAUGGAGGACAGCGUAGCUAGAGUCUGUCAGAGGUGGGUAGAAUUCCCUGUGUAGCAGUGAAAUGCGUAGAGAUGGGGAGGAAUACCGAUGGCGAAGGCAGCCUGCUGGGAUAAGACUGACGCUGAGGCACGAAGGCGUGGGGAGCAAACA